RNAcentral lists this small RNA (988 nucleotides) under Arabidopsis thaliana (thale cress). RNAcentral describes it as "ATSL194270". Lineage: Eukaryota; Viridiplantae; Streptophyta; Magnoliopsida; Brassicales; Brassicaceae. The record is from RNAcentral.
ACUAAUUAAUUUAAAACAAGGGUGAAUUAAAUUUUUAUGCUCAGACGAAUGCGAAAUUAGGAAUGUAUGAAUGAUGAUUUCAUAUUUAGUUCUCUUUCCUCCCGACAAUAAAUUCUGACAUAUUUGCUCCUAUUGAGCAGAGAUAUUGUUGGAUACGUAAUGAUUGUGCAGCAUUUAAUUCUAACACAAGUAUGAAGAUAAUUAGGUUAGUCGAUAAUAUGUUAUUUGAUAUGGUAUCAUAGGUUAUAUUAGAAGAUACUUGAUAGAAGAUAAGAAUAAAUAAGACUAUGCCCAAUAGUAGAAGACUGUUGGAGCUGGAUUCCUGGAAUCCACCUGCGAAAAUACCAAGCCAGCCCACAAAAGCCCACCAAGCCCACCAAGUAGAGGACCUACGCAGCUGACGAGCCCACAUACGCGAAUGGGUAUUUGGACCAGAUAAGCCCAGUCACCUGAUGCAGGGAGAUAAGCGAAUAAUGACCUAGGAACUGAAGAGGAGAUAUUCGCGGAGCGGACCUGAUAUCUCGGAACUGACCUGCCGAAUAUCCAGGAGGAUCUCCGCAGAUCCCGGACGGAGCUACCACGUGCGUAGAUCUAUAUAAGGGAGCAAGGACGACUUGUAAGACACAUUCAAUCUAGUUCACAUUGGCACACACACACUUUACACUUGUAAUCUCAUUUCACAUUGUAAAAGCUCUGUCAUAAUUAAAGUCCAUUCGUUCUUAGCAAUAUAACUCUCAAGGUUUCAGUGAAGAUCUAGCACUCCUUUCUCAUAAUCUUAAAUACAAAUCUCUAGUGUGGAUUUCAGAACCCACAUUUGGCGCCGUCUGUGGGGACAGAAAUAGAUCAUUCCAACACCGAAGCUAACACAUCAAUUGUGACCAACGAUCAUGGAUCCCAAUUCAUCCAAUUCAUCGGGAUCUGGCUUACCAGUUCAGAUCCCAAACGAUGACGUUACGGACGGGCACCUCCCAACGGAUCUCCCUCCUGG